UACAUACUGUGCGAACGUUAUUCGGAAUCACUGGGCUUAAAGGGUGCGUAGGCGGCGAUUCAAGUCAGAUGUGAAAUGCCUGAGUUCAACUGAGGCAUUGCGUUUGAAACUGGAUUGCUGGAGUGUCCCAGGGGUGUGCGGAACUGCCAGUGGAGCGGUGAAAUGUGUUGAUAUUGGCAGGAACACCGGAGGCGAAAGCGGCACACUGGGGGAUAACUGACGCUGAGGCACGAAAGCCAGGGGAGCGAACGGG
Molecule: ribosomal RNA, 253 nt
Filed under: uncultured bacterium
Lineage: Bacteria
Description: partial 16S ribosomal RNA
Rfam family: Bacterial small subunit ribosomal RNA
Source: RNAcentral